RNAcentral lists this ribosomal RNA (1372 nucleotides) under uncultured bacterium. Its description in RNAcentral is "partial 16S ribosomal RNA". It matches the Rfam family "Bacterial small subunit ribosomal RNA", at positions 1 to 1375 of the family's 1533-position model. The record is from RNAcentral.
GGGGGGGGGGGGGGGGGGGAUAAUAAAAAGAGGCCCGUUAUUAAUUUUAUUUUUUUUUCUCCCUCUUCAUAUAAUUAAAAGGGGAGGAAAGCCCCCGAGAAAAAAAAAAUUUGGGUUAUUAAACCUCUUUUUUUUUAUUUUCUUUUUAAAAAAAACUUUUUUUUUAUGAUUAUAAAGGGGUUUGGGGGUUUGGAGAGGGGGGUUGGGUUUUUUUUUUUUUUUUGAGGGGGGGGGGAAACGGGUUCCCCCCUAGAGUUCCAAAAAAAUAGGGGGCCCUGGGAGGGGGGACCCCCCCCCCCUGGGUUUUGAGACCCGGGGCCCAGAUUCCUUUCGGGGAGCCACCAGUAAGGAAAUAUUGGUCAAAUGGACGAAAAUUUUGACCCAGCCCAUGCCGGUGGCCAGGAUGAAUGCCCAUUGGGGUUGUUAAAUGCUUUUAUACAGGAAGAAAAACUUUUCUGGUGAGAAAGCUUGACGGUACUGUAAGGAAUAAGGAUGGGCUAACUCCGUGCCAGCAGCCGCCGGUAAUACGGAGGAUCCAAGCGUUAUCCGGGAAUUAUUGGGUUUAAAGGGUUCCGUAGGUGGAUAAUUAAGUCAGAGGUGAAAUCCUGCAGCUUAACUGUAGAAUUGCCUUUGAUACUGGUUAUCUUGAGUUAUUAUGAAGUGAUUAGAAUGUGUAGUGUAGCGGUGAAAUGCAUAGAUAUUACACAGAAUACCAAUUGCGAAGGCAGGUCACUAAUAAUCAACUGACACUGAGGGACGAAAGCGUGGGUAGCGAACAGGAUUAGAUACCCUGGUAGUCCACGCCGUAAACGAUGGUCACUAGCUGUUUGGACUUCGGUCUGAGUGGCUAAGCGAAAGUGAUAAGUGACCCACCUGGGGAGUACGUUCGCAAGAAUGAAACUCAAAGGAAUUGACGGGGGCCCGCACAAGCGGUGGAGCAUGUGGUUUAAUUCGAUGAUACGCGAGGAACCUUACCAGGGCUUAAAUGUUUGGUGACAGAUCUAGAAAUAGGUUUUUCUUCGGACACUAAACAAGGUGCUGCAUGGUUGUCGUCAGCUCGUGCCGUGAGGUGUCAGGUUAAGUCCUAUAACGAGCGCAACCCCUGUUGUUAGUUGCCAGCGAGUAAUGUCGGGAACUCUAACAAGACUGCCAGUGCAAACUGUGAGGAAGGUGGGGAUGACGUCAAAUCAUCACGGCCCUUAUGUCCUGGGCUACACACGUGCUACAAUGGUAGGUACAGAGAGCAGCCAAUGCGCGAGCAUGAGCAAAUCUAUAAAACCUAUCUCAGUUCGGAUCGAAGGCUGCAACUCGACUCCGUGAAGCUGGAAUCGCUAGUAAUCGGAUAUCAGCAAUGUCCUCUUGUUUCGCCCCC